Poecilia latipinna (sailfin molly) is the source of this 101-nucleotide long non-coding RNA. RefSeq lists it as uncharacterized. NCBI's taxonomy places the organism in Eukaryota, Metazoa, Chordata, Actinopteri, Cyprinodontiformes, Poeciliidae. The record is from RefSeq and is a predicted model, not a curated record. The transcript is spliced from 3 exons.
UAUUCCUGAAUUAAGCAGAGUAAGUUAGUCUCCAUUGUAAACUUCUUGUAUUUAAUCACAGCAUGAAAAAGUUGAACUUUUACUGGCAGUCCUGGCUGUAC